This is a long non-coding RNA of Mus musculus (house mouse), 2158 nucleotides long. RefSeq annotates it as predicted gene, 40232. The record is from RefSeq and is a predicted model, not a curated record. NCBI's taxonomy places the organism in Eukaryota, Metazoa, Chordata, Mammalia, Rodentia, Muridae. The transcript is spliced from 2 exons.
ACGUGGGAGGAGCAUAAUGUCACGCCUUGGGUCAGGCUGACUGAAAUUCCUGGAGUCACAGCCAUGCACUCAGGAGGCUAAGGUCCUGGCAUUGAACUCAGAUCAUCGGCUUUGGCAGCAGAUAUUUUUAGCCUCUGAGCUAUCUUGGCAGCCCUCUAUUUGCUUUGAAAAGCUACUCUGUACUUGGAGAGACACUGUGUGUGGAAGUAUUCACCAGAGAAGACUGCUCAGACAUGGGGUUAAGCCAGUACAAAGUCUUUAUCAGCCCGAGGGCAACUACAUUGGGUGUUCCGGAUCCCAGUGUAGCCAUGAGCCUUUCUCAGUGUGAGCUUUUAAGCACAAAACCAUAUUCUGGGUUAACAUACUUCAGUUAACAAGAACAGUUAGCUACUACAAUCAGAACUACAGGAGACAAAAAGAAAGGUUAGUACAAUUUAGAGAAUUUCUUUUCAUAACUGUGGACUUUGAUAGAUUAGGCCUUUGUUUUAGUGUUGGCAGGCACUGCUGUCCACAUGCAGUUUUACAGCCUGAAUGGUACUUCCACCAUGGAGUCAGUUGUGCUAAGGUCUGGGGCCCUAUAACAACUGUAGUUGGUAAUUCUUGUGUAUGGUAUUGGGGACUGAAUUCAGGGCCUUGCACAUGCUAGGCAAGUCACUGCACAGCCUACACCGCCCCUCAUCUGCUUCAUGCUGGUUUUUUUUUUUUUUUAAAGAUUUAUUUACUUUAUGUAUAUGAGUACACGGUAGCUAUUAUCAGACAUACCAGAAGAGGGCAUCAGGCCCCAUUAUAGAUGGUUUUGAGCCACCAUGUGAACUCAGGACCGCUGGAAGAGCAGUCAGUUCUCUUAACCACUGAGCCAUCUCUUCAGCCCCCCUUCAUGAUGUUUUUAAAAAGACAGUCUAUUACUAACUCUCCAAGCUAGCCUUGAGCAGAGGAUACAGACCUUGAAUUCACAGUCGUCCUUAUUCAGCCUCCCAAGUGACUGGGAUUAGGAACCUGUGCCAUCAAAUCGGAUUGUCAUUCGUCACUUUAAAGUUUCCACACUCCGAUUCUGGGCAUGCUUGCUUCUUCCUUACUAGAGACUGACAAAUCCGCUGGAAAAGAUUUUCUAUCUGGUGUGAAGCAGGAGUCCAUAUGACAGCCACUGGGCUCAGAAGCAUUUACAGGAACGAUCAUUAACCCGUUGCUCUACAACGACAACCCUCUGACCCAACAGGAGAGCACGGGCUCGGCUUUGUCUGUAGGCUCUCCACCGUAUGUGCUGUCCCACUCUACUGUCUGUCUAAAAUUACUCCAAGGCCUCCAUGUAUUUUUAAAAUAGCUUUUAAAGGUGUAUUUAUUUUUAUUUUACGUGAGUGGGUAUCUUGCCUGCGUGUCUGUCUGUGCACCACAUGAGUGCUUGGUGCCUGCAGAGGCUCGGGAUGAGACCGUCGAUCUUCUGGGACUGGAGUCAUGGGCAGUUGUGUGCUGUCAUGUGAAUGCUGGGAAUGGAACCUUGAUCCUUUGAAAGAGCAGCCAGUGCUCUUAACCAGUGAGCUAACUCUCCAGCCCAUGCCGCUGUGUCCGAGUUGUCUCAUUCUAUAGCAGAGCUUGGUGCUUGCUAACCUUCCAGAGUUUUUACUUUUUCACUGUUGGCAGCAAGGUGUGGUAGUACACACCUGUAACUCCUGGUCCCUAAGAAGCCAAGGCAAAAAGGGGGCCUUCUAGGCUAGCUUGGGAUACAAAGUGAGACCUAACCCGAUAAGAGAGAAAGAAGAGAAAAUGCAAAAUGAAACAAAACCAAAACAACGUGCAUUGGAUAUUUUUCGUCUGUUAAAUCUUGUGGUGCUGAGAAUUGAGCCCUAGAGAGGUCUCAUAUGUUAGGUGACAACUCUGCCACUGAGCUACAGCCCGGUGCCUGUUGGACUUUUAUCAAAGCUUUUAGCUGCAUUUACUGCAGUGGCUGUAGGCUUUCUUCUCCUGUUCAUGGUGAAUUACAUUCACGUUAAAACCCUCUUUUGCUAUAAAGUGCUCUGCUGAUUGUGUCACGGUGAUUUAUUUCCUGGUGUGGCAGACUUCCUUCUUAUUUUCUCCCUCUUUCCUUCCCUCCAUCCUUUCUUUUUGUCUCUCUUCAGUAGUGUGUGUGUGUCUGUCUGUCUGUCUGUCUGUCUGUCCUGAA